CAGAGGACAUCUCAUUUUCAGGUUAACCUUAAACAGCAGAGCGCUGUAGGAACCCAAGGAUUCUGAUGGAGCUUCCAGUCCUAAACAAGCAGUAUCUUCCAAGGACGUUUUAGGGGACAUGGGUCAUACCCAGACUCAGGGAAUCACUUCAGAAUCAAGUGUGGCAAAUGGAAAGCACAUAGGCUUCGAGGUCAGCUGGACUAGGUGCCAAUUCUGCUACCACUUGCUAGCCCGCAUGAUUGUUGG
This is a long non-coding RNA of Myotis lucifugus (little brown bat), 246 nucleotides long. RefSeq lists it as uncharacterized. The record is from RefSeq and is a predicted model, not a curated record. The transcript has 3 exons. Lineage: Eukaryota; Metazoa; Chordata; Mammalia; Chiroptera; Vespertilionidae.